UAAUUAGUUGGUAGUUGAAUUUAAUCAAUUUGGAUCCAAAUUGAAUCCAAGUCAGUCGAAGUCCAAGUUGUAAUUCAGUCCUACACCAGUGCAAACCUUGGAGGUAUUUAAGAAAAUGUCAUGUUUCAAUAUAUUUUUGAUGGUUCAAAAACAUACAUGUUAUAGUGUUAUACAUUUUUAAUAAUUCAUUUCCACAAUCACUUUUUACAGUGUACACCUAUCUACACAAAAAAUAUGGGAAAGAGAUUUGUCCGCUGCUUUGUGAAACAAUUCCGCCGUGCUGUGCGUCUACAAGUACGAGAAGAUGCAACUGCAGCUGAUAUUGGGGUUGUGCUCCGCAACAAUAUCCCCAUUUCUGACCUCCCAAAUAAUGACGAAGUUGCUGAAACUUUAGUAACUGCAGCAAAUAGCAAUGAGACCUUAGGUGUGGUUCUGUCUGCAUCCUCGAUUCAAACUAUAUGUAAGUAAACGCAACAUGUUUUUUUUAACCAAAGAAAGACAAAGUUUUUGAGGUCAAAGUUUCAAAGUUUUUUGAAAAAUAUUUUUUUACAGCUGGUCCAGUUCCUGCAACUGCGACAACCACAGUUGCAGCAACUACAAUUUCUGUCAUGACAACCACCACAUCUGCAGCUGUUACAACAAGUAAACAACACAAUAAAUAACCAAUUUUUUACUUUUUCCUCAACUGAUAAUACCUUCUCAUUUUCAGCUUCAAGCGGAGUCAACCAGAACAUCACUGCAUUCUCUCUGGUACUGUUGUUAUGGUUACUGUCAAACCACCAAUAAAAUCCUGAUUAUUGUCAUUUAUUGACAGCAUCCAGCAACACUAUAAUAGCAGUGCGCAUAAUAAUAAUAUAUAUGUUUAUGUUAUAUUGAAAACUGUUCUGCAUUCUCCUGAUUUAUAAAGUUAACAUUAUAGACCUCCUUUUUUACUAUGUUACAAUACUAUCACUGAGAAAAGAAACGAAGUGAUAUAUGACAACAAUCACAGUUCUUGAAAUUAUCCAUUGAUGAGAAUUGUCUUUAUCUUGUAUUAUGUGUUUUGCCAUAUGUUCCUGUCUUCUCUUGGAAGUUAGGCAUGGUAGACUCAUGAGCAAAUGUAACAAAGAUUAGAGACAUUCCUUUCACAGGAUUGUUGUUGUUGUUCCAUUGUAAUCUCAGGAGUCAGUCAGGCAGGGGGUGUUAAACACCCAUCAUAAACGGGGCAUCAGGGUGGGGUUGAUGAUCUUAUUUGCAUAAAGAAUGGGAACUUUUAUCUGGCCACCUGGGAAGAUAAUGGAGAAGAAGGACUGUAUCAACACCAAAGGAGACGGGAAGAAGAGGACGAGGUCAUCCCAGCAGAGGAAUUGGAUUGGAUUGUAUGAACAUUGAGAAUUUGCAUGUGUGUUUCUAUAAAAGACUGGGCCAAGGGAUAGUUGCAGCACUUUUUGAAACGGGGAAACACAAAACACGGUGGUGAGACAAAAUGGAACCAAACGCGCAUAGGUGUGCAGAGCGCACAGUAAAGGCAAACUAAACAACAUAAUUGGGAUCGUAACACAACAAUUACCAUUGCUUCAAAACCAGCUGAAGCUCCAAUGACUAUUGACAAAUAAGGAACCAACAAUUUGGCUUUGGUUUGAAUCAAAGUGACUUUGAACACACCUACCUUGAAAGCUUAGUACCUGUCAAAUCACCAUGACAUCUUUGAACUUUAGUUGUUGUCAAUGAGCUAAUACAAUGGGUAUCUGAAUUAGCUCUAUGAUCUUGGGGUCCAGGCCCCAAGUGGCACAAAGGUCCUUUGUCUCCUACUGUCCUUCCCCACCUUCCUGUGCUCCUUCGUUUAAAUAUUGCAGAUUCCCAUCCUGAUUAUUACUAUUUGUCUAUAUUUGCAUCCAGCCUGAUCAUUACCUUUUGUUCAUUGUACGGUAACCCAAAAUGACUCACACUGUCAGUCAGUUCACCAAGGUGCGGUCUACUUUGUAACAGGAUCGCACGCCACAGCAAACCUCUAACGCUGGGCCAUUCAAUUUGCGGCCCCCGGGCCAGGUUUGGCCCCUACGAAAUUUUGUACUGGCCCUCAUUUUGUACUGUAAUUAUGAUGGAGAGUCCCA
Long non-coding RNA from Takifugu rubripes (torafugu), 2093 nucleotides. Lineage: Eukaryota; Metazoa; Chordata; Actinopteri; Tetraodontiformes; Tetraodontidae. The record is from Ensembl.